RNAcentral lists this ribosomal RNA (366 nucleotides) under Triticum aestivum (bread wheat). RNAcentral's name for it is "partial small subunit ribosomal RNA". The record is from RNAcentral. Lineage: Eukaryota; Viridiplantae; Streptophyta; Magnoliopsida; Poales; Poaceae.
AUGUGCGACCUUUUUUACAAGAAGUAUGGGAAAGAUUUCGUUGCUGCUGCAGUUGACAUAUGCCCAAAUGUUUGUGUAUUUCAUUUAUUUUUCUGCAAAGCCAUUUGUUGUCACUACUGCAUGUAUUUUAUGGUCACUAUUGAAAUCAACGAUGUCCUUCUGAAGGUAAUUGAGAAGUUGUCAGUCAAUAAGCCGUGUAGGCAAUUUAAGUUGGAAGUUCUUAAGGAUAUAGCAAAGGAGCAUCAGAUAGAUUGGGAUAGGAGCGAGGCUGAGCAGGAACUUCUUAAACCUGCUGAAGAGCUGAUUUAUGUAAUACUAAAACUGCAAUGCCACAUACUUUUGUUUUACAUUGUGUAUAGUCUUUGA